Non-coding RNA from Scomber japonicus (chub mackerel), 531 nucleotides. The record is from the annotation of a RefSeq genome assembly. Lineage: Eukaryota; Metazoa; Chordata; Actinopteri; Scombriformes; Scombridae.
CAUGGUCAGCUGAUCCUCCAGUGAACUGAGAAGGUUUAUAGUCCUGUGAGUUCAACACUGCAGGACUCAGAUCUGUCAGUCAACACAGCAGAAACCACAAGCAGCAUGACUCUCAUCACCAUCCUCAUCUGGACGCUGGCCUGCUGCUGUUUUACAGGAUGCAGCGGUCAGGUGACUGUGACUCAGCCUCCAGUACUCACAUCUACUCCAGGAUCCACUGUCACUCUGACCUGUAAAACCAACCCUGCUGCUGCGUGUAGUCCUCCUUGCUUGUCCUGGUAUCAACAGAAAUCUGGACAGACUCCAAAGCUUCUAAUUAGACGUGUGAGCACACGUGUAUCAGGAACACCAGCUCGGUUUAGUGGCAGUGGAAGCGGCUCUGACUUCUCUUUGACCAUCAGUGGAGUUCAGACUGAAGAUGCAGCAGUUUACUACUGUCAGAGAGCACAUGAAAUAAACAGUGCAUGGGUGUUCACACAGUUAUUUGUCGUCGUACAAAAACCUCCCUCAGUCAGACUGCAGAGACUCUGA